AACGAACGCUGGCGGCAGGCUUAACACAUGCAAGUCGAACGCCCCGCAAGGGGAGUGGCAGACGGGUGAGUAACGCGUGGGAAUCUACCCAUCUCUGCGGAAUAGCUCUGGGAAACUGGAAUUAAUACCGCAUACGCCCAACGGGGGACAGAUUUAUCGGGGAUGGAUGAGCCCGCGUUGGAUUAGCUAGUUGGUGGGGUAAAGGCCUACCAAGGCGACGAUCCAUAGCUGGUCUGAGAGGAUGAGCAGCCACAUUGGGACUGAGACACGGCCCAAACUCCUACGGGAGGCAGCAGUGGGGAAUAUUGGACAAUGGGCGCAAGCCUGAUCCAGCCAUGCCGCGUGAGUGAUGAAGGCCUUAGGGUUGUAAAGCUCUUUCACCGAUGAGGAUAAUGACGGUAGUCGGAGAAGAAGCCCCGGCUAACUUCGUGCCAGCCGCCGCUGUAA
Molecule: ribosomal RNA, 447 nt
Filed under: uncultured bacterium
Lineage: Bacteria
Description: partial 16S ribosomal RNA
Rfam family: Bacterial small subunit ribosomal RNA
Source: RNAcentral